GACGAACGCUGGCGGCGUGCUUAACACAUGCAAGUCGAACGGAAAGGCCCUGCUUUUGUGGGGUGCUCGAGUGGCGAACGGGUGAGUAACACGUGAGUAACCUGCCCUUGACUUUGGGAUAACUUCAGGAAACUGGGGCUAAUACCGGAUAGGAGCUCCUGCUGCAUGGUGGGGGUUGGAAAGUUUCGGCGGUUGGGGAUGGACUCGCGGCUUAUCAGCUUGUUGGUGGGGUAGUGGCUUACCAAGGCUUUGACGGGUAGCCGGCCUGAGAGGGUGACCGGCAACACUGGAACUGAGAUACGGCCCAGACUCCUACGGGAGGCAGCAGUGGGGAAUAUUGCACAAUGGGCAGAAGCCUGAUGCAGCAACGCCGCGUGCGGGAUGACGGCCUUCGGGUUGUAAACCGCUUUCGCCUGUGACGAAGCGUGAGUGGCGGUAAUGGGUAAAGAAGCACCGGCUAACUACGUG
Molecule: ribosomal RNA, 468 nt
Filed under: uncultured bacterium
Lineage: Bacteria
Description: partial 16S ribosomal RNA
Rfam family: Bacterial small subunit ribosomal RNA
Source: RNAcentral